Molecule: transfer RNA, 89 nt
Filed under: Candidatus Magasanikiibacteriota bacterium
Lineage: Bacteria; Candidatus Magasanikiibacteriota
Description: Candidatus Magasanikbacteria bacterium tRNA-Leu
Rfam family: tRNA
About the family: Transfer RNA (tRNA) molecules are approximately 80 nucleotides in length. Their secondary structure includes four short double-helical elements and three loops (D, anti-codon, and T loops).
Source: RNAcentral
GCCGCGGUGGUGGAGUUGGUAUACACAGGAGACUUAAAAUCUCCCGCCCGUAAGGGCUCGUAGCGGUUCGAGCCCGCUUCGAGGCACCA